UCGCCUGUUUAACAAAAACAUAGCUUUAUGAAAUUUCAUAUAAAGUUUUACCUGCCCAAUGAUAUUAUUUAAAUGGCCGCAGUACUUUGACUGUGCUAAGGUAGCAUAAUAAAUUGACUUUUAAUUGAGGUCUAGAAUGAAUGGAUAAAUGAAUAUAAACUGUCUUUAAGAAAUUUAUCUAAACUUUCUUAAUAGGUGAAAAUUCCUUUAAUAAAAUUUAAGGGACGAGAAGACCCUAGGAGUUUUAAAGGAAACUUUUGUUGGGGCAACAUUAUAGUAUUUAACCUAUAAUAUAAUAUUAGAUAUAACAAAUAUAUUAAUUUUAAAUAAACUACCCUAGGGAUAACAGCAUAAUUUAUUAUUAAAUAAGUUUGUGACCUCGAUGUUGGACUAGGGACUUUAUUUAUUAAAUAUACUUAUUGACAUGUUCUGUUCGAACAUUUUAUACCUACGUGAUCUGAGUUCAGACCGGA
RNAcentral lists this ribosomal RNA (473 nucleotides) under Everettia paulbasintali. RNAcentral's name for it is "partial 16S ribosomal RNA". It matches the Rfam family "Bacterial large subunit ribosomal RNA", at positions 1796 to 2620 of the family's 2925-position model. The record is from RNAcentral. Lineage: Eukaryota; Metazoa; Mollusca; Gastropoda; Stylommatophora; Ariophantidae.